GGGGUUGUAGUAUAGCCUGGUCUAGUAUUCAACCUUCGGGAGGUUGGGACCUGAGUUCGAAUCUCAGCAACCCCA
This 75-nucleotide transfer RNA is filed under the name Candidatus Iainarchaeum sp. RNAcentral's name for it is "tRNA-Pro". It matches the Rfam family "tRNA". From Rfam's summary of the family: Transfer RNA (tRNA) molecules are approximately 80 nucleotides in length. Their secondary structure includes four short double-helical elements and three loops (D, anti-codon, and T loops). Lineage: Archaea; Nanobdellati; Candidatus Iainarchaeota; Candidatus Iainarchaeia; Candidatus Iainarchaeales; Candidatus Iainarchaeaceae. The record is from RNAcentral.